ACAUGCAAGUCGAGGGGCAGCAGGACUGUAGCAAUACAGUUGCUGGCGACCGGCAAACGGGUGCGGAACACGUACGCAACUUACCCUUGUCUGGGGCAUAGCCCGGGGAAACCCGGAUUAACUCCCCAUAAGAUAGUGGUGUGGCAUCACACAGCUAUUAAAACUUUGGUGGACAGGGAUGGGCGUGCGGCUGAUUAGGUAGUUGGUGUGGGUAACGGCCUACCAAGCCUGCGAUCAGUAACUGGUGUGAGAGCGCGACCAGUCACACGGGCACUGAGACACGGGCCCGACUCCUACGGGAGGCAGCAGUAAGGAAUAUUAGUCAAUGGACGCAAGUCUGAACCAGCCAUGCCGCGUGGAGGAUGAAGGCCCUCUGGGUUGUAAACUUCUUUUACAGGGGACGAAACACUCUUUUUCUAGAGAGCUUGACGGUACCCUGGGAAUAAGCACCGGCUAACUCCGUGCCAGCAGCCGCGGUAAUACGGAGGGUGCAAGCGUUAUCCGGAUUCACUGGGUUUGAAGGGUGCGUANGCGGGCUUGUAAGUCCGUGGUGAAAUCUCUGAGCUUAACUCGGAAACUGCCAUGGAUACUAUGGGUCUUGAAUACUCGGGAGGUGAGCGGA
RNAcentral lists this ribosomal RNA (622 nucleotides) under uncultured Saprospiraceae bacterium. RNAcentral describes it as "bacterial SSU rRNA". It matches the Rfam family "Bacterial small subunit ribosomal RNA", at positions 53 to 665 of the family's 1533-position model. The record is from RNAcentral. Lineage: Bacteria; Pseudomonadati; Bacteroidota; Saprospiria; Saprospirales; Saprospiraceae.